This 13722-nucleotide long non-coding RNA is filed under the name Ananas comosus (pineapple). RNAcentral's name for it is "long non-coding RNA (ACOM_LNC021517)". The record is from RNAcentral. Lineage: Eukaryota; Viridiplantae; Streptophyta; Magnoliopsida; Poales; Bromeliaceae.
UCUUUGAAUAAUGAGCAAAAGAGGCUCGCUCAGGAGAAGACUGUAGUAAAAGAAAAGUAUAAAUAAUUAAGAAAUGUUGUCUUGUAUGGUUGAUUAAUUCGGCUUACCCCAACAUCAAUUGGUUCGACUGAGAUAAGGGAUUGCCCAGUAGCCGAAGACGGUGUAAUAGUUUCUUGCGUUGGAAGGUCAGCCGAAGGAACGUCUUCGGUUUUGUCUUUAGCGGUUUCAGCCGAAGGGGUAUCUUCGGCUUGUUGAAAUUUUCUUUUGGCCACUGAUUUGCGCCGUUUUGAGGACGGCGGAGGAGCAACCUGAACGACUUCGAUCGGUCUUUUGCCUGAAGUUGAGACUGAUGGAGAAACAGGAACUGACUGAAAAUAUAAACAAACAAUAGUGAUGAAUAAAGAAAAGACGAUGAUUAAGAUGAGUAAGGAAGUGAUAUUUACAGAGGAAGGAGGCGAGGAUUCAGCAGCUUCUUCUGACUUUUCUUCAGAUACAGAUGUUUCAGCAGGACUAUCCGACCGGGUCUUGCUUGGAAAGGGGACUGCGAGUGAGAAGCAGAUAAGUAAAAUAAUGAAGAUUGAAGAGUAAGAGUUAAUAACAUACCAAUGGGAUGACGAGUUUUGUAAUGUGCAGCCGAAACAACGGGAGGAAAGGUUUCUCGGAGAAAGGAAUCCCAAUUAGCAUUGUAGCGGAAACCCAUUAUACCGGAUAAAUUCGGUUUAAAACUAGUCAAUUUGAAAAAUCGCCGGAGACGAUUUCCCAUGGCUGAAAUCCGAUCGGCGUCGGCUGUUGUAAGGAAGUGAAAUCUCGAAAUGCGAGGAUUGUAUUUCAUCCAGGAUCGACUAAUUGUCGAAAGUAUACCCUUUGUGGGAGUUGAGAAUGUCCCAAACACAGAAAGUGCUUUGGAGUUGAGUCCGCGAGAGCAAAUGAUGCAAACUGCAUCAUUGGGCUAAGAUUACUCUCGGGGACCGGUCUCUGGAGGUGAGAGACCGGUUCCCCUGGCUGGGUGUAGCGGGGCUGCGUGAUGCAACCGGUCCCUGGCAGGGAGGGACCGAUUCCCGAACGUGGUCCCAGCGAGAAGUGCCAAAAAUUGGCUAAGUCCUGAAAAUCGAGCUCUCGGGGACCGGUCUCUCAGGCGAAGACCGGUCUCCCGAGGACCGGUCUCCCGGGGAGAGACCGGUUCCCGAACGCGUGCGCCCGAGGGAAGCUCUCGGGGACCGGUCCCAAGUCGGGGAGACCGGUCCCUCCGCGCGAAAACUGCCCAGUGAGGGCAGUGCACAGGAGUGAAAGUUGAGGGGCUUUUAUGCAAAAUGGCUUUUAUUUGAGUGGGCUGAGCCCUCUCUCUCCCUCACACUCUCUCUUUUCACUCUCUCUCACUCUCUUGCUCUCUUGCUCUCUCUCUCUCUAGAGAUAACAAAGAAGGAGAAGAAGAAAGAGAAGAAGAAGAAGGAGGAGAAGAAGAAGAAGAAGGAGGAGAAGAAGAAGGAGGCUAGGAGCAUCUUCCUCUCCCUCUCCUCUUCCCAUUGGUGUAGCUCAAGAGGUAAGCUACAAACCCUAGCUCCUAGAACUUAGGGUUUUUGGGUUUUAUGCUUUGGAAUGGGUCAAAUGAACCCUAAGCUAGCUUCUAAAUAGAUCAAUCCCAAGAAUCUAGGGAUUUAUUGGGUGGUUUGCUAUAGGUGCAAACCUAGGGCUCCAAAAUGGGGUUUUUGUAAAAGUAUGAGAUUGAUCUCAUUUGAAGCCUUGGAAACCCUAUUGAUAGGUCCCAAAACGCGGGGGCGAAGUCGAUUUUGGCAUUCGGCGAACCGACGUGAAGUUCUCGGCAAAAUCGGGCCGGGCUAGUGUUGAUUCGGGCGAGGAAGGCUAAAGCCUUUUCGUAGAGCUCGCCGAGAAGGAUUUUCCAAGCCUCUACAUCGAUUAAAGGUGGGGGGUGUCAUCCGAAACUUUCGAACUCCUUUCUAUGUCUUAGAUUGCAUUUAAUCUCAUCUCUUUAUGUGCAUUGUAGGAUUGCAUAGUAGUUCCAUUCCUUAUGCUUUCUAAUUGAUAACCUAGUGUACUUGGAACGCUUGGUAAUUUAGAUAGGUGAGGAUUGGGUAGAGACGUGAAUCCUAUGGUGCGAAUGAAAAGAGAUGAACCCGAUGGGGUUAUUGAUGACAUAGAAAGUAAUGUUAUUGUUAAAGAACAAACGAGUGACAUCCAAAUAUUGAAUGAUAACGAGUGGCAUUAAUGUAGUGUAAAUAACACUAGAGGUCGAUGGACCUAGGGAUAGGUAGAUCCCUUAGAAAAUGCCUUGUGAACAAUGAAUUUAGAAAGCUAAAUAGCAUUGUAUGAAUGUCGGGAACCGACGAUUCCGCGAUAGUCGCUGACCCUAGUGUAGGGCGUCCUCACAUGGAGAGGUUGUAGAUGAGUUAUUGAGAUAUUGACCCUAGUUGUAGGGCAUCCUCACUUGGAGAGGGUAGAUCUAGCUCACAGUCUGCGUUUGGGAUGGUAUAGCCAUCCAAUCCCCAUAUGGAAGGGAUUGUCGUCGAGUACUUCGGAGUGUCGCGCGACUAGGACCACUUGGAGGUUCGGACCACAUGGAGGUCCGCAGACGGUCUCGGGCUUGGGUGCACUUGGAGCCCCCUCCCCACUUUGGGAUUGUAAGGUGAGUCAUGGGCAAGCCCUAGGGCCUCGCCAUAGAUUGGGUAAAUGGAAAUGUUACUAUUGUCAUUGAACAUUGCUAUUCGAACAUGGAUCGAAUUUGUUAACAUGGUAGCAAACCUUCAUUAUAUGAUGCAUGCAUUCAUAUUUAUGAUUAUGGGCAUAGUAGCAUAGUUUUUCCUACUACUGCAUUUACAGCUUUCAGAUACAUAUCUAUCUAUCUAUCUAUCUGUUGUUACUUGUGCCCACUUGGACCUAGUGGGGAGAUCGGCAGAGUCGGCAGCUGAGCCCACUGGGAACUAUGGAAGAUAGUUCUCACCCCACUCCAUUUCCAGUGGUAGGUUCAGAGCUGCAGAGAGAGGACCGCGGCAAGGGCGUCGCGCCCGACCAGUGAGGCCGUGGUAGUAUAGUAGCUUUCCCUUUUGCAUUAGUCAUCUAUGUAUAGAGAGAGAUUUAUUGUAGGUGAGGAUUUGGAGAGCUAUGUAUUUUGGAUGAAAAAUGAUGUAAAGAAUGCAACUGUUGUAAUAGUUAGUAAAGUACUCUCUUUAUUUCACUCGUAUAUCUUGUGGAUUACCUGCUCUUCUUGUUGUUGGCACUAUUUGUGCCCUCGUUGAAUGUGUAUGUUUAGAAUUUAAAGUCCUGGGUAAAUUCUUGUACACAUUCCAGUCGUUGAGCCUUGGGCAGACAAGGGAGGUGCUGUCCGUUCGGCGGUCCGUCGCCGCGGCCGAAUCGUGCCAAAUUGGUAGUGGUUUCGGGGCGGGGCGUGACAGCUGUGCUUUUGGUAGGCGGGCGAUGAACGGCAGUAUUUGCCGUAAAAAAUUUUGCCGAAGCAGGAAUGGCUUGGGUAAAUCCAAAUUGACGUGCCACGAACUGUGGGGAGUAAACCUUGAUGCUUGGCAACAGUUUCGAGCGUGUUUUUAGGCCAACAUGUAGAUCCCGAAGGGCCAAAAAAGAAUACCAAACAUCAAAAUAUUCACUAGCACGAGAGGAAGCAAUUUCACAUUGAAGGGACUCAUAUCUGGCCAAAAACCAAGGAGGGCCAGUGAGUCUGUCAGCAAAAGGAGACCAAAAAACAAGAAGAUGAGGACUGGAAUCAUAAAAAACAGAGAAAUAAGUAAGGAAAUCAAGAGGAUGUCCCGAUGUCAAUGGUGGAGGACAACCAAGAGCAAGCCCAUAGGAGUCAAAAUGGGCAACUGAAUCUAUGUUUAGAGGUUCUUUACACAAUUUUCGAAAUAAAUUUGCAAAAACAUUUGCAAAAACCAGAAGACUCCGCAGCCUGAGCUAAUGGUUACACCAUCCUCGGAGGGUGACGGCUUAACGGAAUCAAAAAUCUCUCUAUAGACAAAAGCAAGGAAAUAUGGCCCCAAGGCCAAUUUAUCGCCGUUAGCUAAACCAACGGCGAUUAGAACAAAAUCUCGAUUGAUUUUCUGCGAACGAGUAUAGAAAAGAUUAUGACACAACCAAUAUAAGAGGAACGCUGUGUGCUCUCUUCUGGUGACCGGAGUAGAAGGUUCACCAACAAAUUUCUUAAGAAAUUUAGAGUAGGCCAAAUCAUUGAGAUCAAGGUGGGCCUCAAAAUCAGACACGCCAUCAGGAUUGUAGGCCAUGGAGAGAGUAAUGCCAUGGGGGCGUAAACCUACGAUGGCGGCAACAUCUAAAAUAGUUGGGGUAAGAGGGCCUCCUCUGAAAAGAAAAAUGUUGGAGGCAGGGGGCCAAAAACAGAGAGCUGAGGCUAAUAGAAGGUGAUCAGCCACAGGAGGUUUUUUAGAUAAUUUGAUGGCUUCGAAAAUUCCGAUCUCUUUCCAAAAGUCACCAUAAGCAGAUUCGAUUCGAGCCAGCCAAGACAAAUAUGCAUCUGAAGUACUCGGCCAAGUCCUAAGACUUCUUCCUGUCGAUGCCGAGGGGUUCCAAGGAUACAGAUGAAUAGUAUUAGCCAGUAACGGAAGACCUUCACUGGAAAAAGGGAAGUCCUCAGGAUUUGGAUCCUGAGUAAAAGAAGGCCCCAAAAUGAGCUGAGUAGGGUCCGAAGGAAGAUAUGGUUUGAGCAAAGUAUAAUCCAGCGAAGGACGAGUAGGCAAUGGUGGAAGAAGCGCCAUUAUUGGAAGCGAAAAAUAUACGAAGAAGAACGUAAAAGACAAAGAGGAGAAGAAGAAGAAAAGAUAUAAGAGACAAAAAGAAACUUAGGAAGGAAGAAAAAGCCACCCGUCACACCAGUUAUGAGUUCCGAGGUCGGCUAUAAUGAUGAAUAGACGGCGGUAAUUAAGAUGACCUAAUUAAUGCCGCAAAAUUGAGAAUGUGAUCAAGGCCGUAGAGAAGAGAAUCAACGGCCAAAGUUAAAACCGUACAAAAGAUUGUGUCACAAAUCGUUGCAGAUCUCGAUUAUACCGAGAAACAUGCCUCGGAUCAAGCUUGCUUUCGGCAAUAGGAAGUUGAAGAUGGCGCCAGCUACCAAAGCGUCGCUUCGAAAGCUGCCGAGGGGGCAAUUGUUGGACCAAUCAGGCACGGACAGUUGGCACACCGAGUUCAUAUCCAUAUUCAGGAUUCGAAAAGCUGGACCGGGAGCACGGAAGAAAUGCACCAGGAGAUAUGAGCCGCGUUUGUUCAAAAACGUGGCAACCGUAAUCGGUUAUGAGCGGUUCCCAACGGCGGUUCUAAUCGGCCGAACGUGGUCCUCCAAAUCCGGAGAAGAUGGCCGAUCGUGCAAAAACAACAAAUGAACGCAAGGGCAAAUCUAUAAAUAGGCCUGUAGUACCCUGAAAACGGGUCUUCGCCCCUGCGCACAAAAGACCACCUUUAUUUUCCUGCAUCUUUCUUUCCUUCAUUUAUCGCUUUUCUUAGGAGUAGUUCCUGUAACGUAGCUUCCUUGGAGUCUGUCUGCCCUCUGGGCAUCACUUCAUUGUAAACAUCUCGGAGUCUGUCUGCCCUCCGGGCAUCACUCCCUUGUACACCUCGGAGUCUGUCUGCCCUCCGGGCAUCACUCCCUUUUUAUUGAUAGAAAGUCGUUUUCGGCUCCUCAGGCCGACUAGAUCUCGUUUUGUCCUAGCCAUUCGGUUCAUCUCUCAGCCGAGAUAUAGGCCUCCCCUGUUCAUUCGGUUCAUCCUGCUGAAGCGAAUUUACCGCAGAGUUUUUCGGACCCGACUGAUUCGAUCCCUCAUCGGCCGAAUCGCUUGACUCGUCGUGGGCGCAAACUUCGAGGGUCACUAUCAGCAGCCGAUUUCCACCCGGCACACUUCCCGAGGAGGAUAUUAGACGGGGUCAACGGUCGGGACUUUCGGCUACCAACACAAUGGUACUUAUUAACGAGAUUUGGGAUUUAAAAAAAUAUUUUGGAAAUAAUGAAAUAAAUUUAAAAAUUUUGAAUAGUAUUGCCGGGUAUGGAAGGGAAAAGUCCUUCUAAAAUAUAGAAGUUGAGAAAUAUAUUUUUGAAUUAGAUUUUUUUUUUAAAAAAAUUGUUAUUAAUUCUUGAUAUCUUUUUUUUUUUUUUUUGAAGUAGGUAAAAUCAGUGACAAAGUUAAAACUAAAGAGUACUAAAAUAAAUAUUCGAUAAAUCUAGAUAGAAUAUUUGAAGUUUUUUGUACAUAAUUUAACGAAAUAUUAAACCACAUGAUACUAAAAUAAAAAAAAAGCGAUACCACAGAGUACUAACUUGAUACACUUUAAACCACAGAGUACUAAAAUGAGAAAGUGCGAAACCACAGGGUACUAACUUGAUACACUUUAAACCACAGGGUACUAAAGUGAAAAAGUGCGAAACCACAGGGGGGUAUUUGAAGUUUUCCCUUUUAAAAAUCUAUUUAACACUAAAUUAAUUAUAAUUUAAUUUUAAUUUACGUUUGUUUAAAUUUUAUGUUAUUAUUUAGUUUAUUUUGGUGUUAUUUUCAAAUUAUUUACUAAAAAUAUAUAGCAAUCAAAUAUUAUUUAACUAAUGUGCCGUUUAAAAAAUAUAUAAAUUUAGAAUAUAUAUGAAUAAAUGAUAAAUAUAAUAAAGACAUUACUAAAUUUAACAUUCUAUGCCUGUAAAUAGAUUAAAGAAUCAUAUAAUAGACUAAUUUAUAUUUUCAUGUCAUUCAUAAUAAGUCUUCAUAAUUUAACUAUAUAUCACUAUAUUCAUCCUUGUAAGUUUUCUUCUAUGUUCAGUGUCACCAACAUAUCAAAUAAGCUCAUAUGUCAAGAUAACUUAGUGUUCUACUUGUUUAUGAAAAAUAUAACAACAAUAACAUGGUAUGAUAAAAGAAGACGACAUAUAUCUGCAUACUAAGCUAUGUAUCCAUUAUCUAUCUUACAGUUGUAGAAUCCCCAACCCAUGCUUCAUGCAUAGAUUCUCAUAGGUUUAAUCCACUCUUACGCAAGAAAACACGAAACUUAUGUUACAAGUAAGGAAAUGAAAGCUCUCUAGAUAAAGACAAAUCAAAUAUAUUUCGAUGAUAUUUCCUUGGCUUGCUAAAACCCUCUUGAAAACAUCCCGCCAGCUCUUGAGAAUCCCGGAUUAUAGCUUUCAACGCUCUUGGUUGAGCAUCCGAAAGUCUAUUCGGAUGCCUGAUUAAGCAUCUGAUAGCGGUUUUGGAGGCCCAAAGGGCAAUCUGAUUGCUCGAAUAUUUAACAAACCUAAUAACUGUUCCACUCGAAUAAAGCAUCUAGGCGUAGAACCGGACAUGCACCCAUAAGAAUAAUUCGGAAGUUUUUGGACGCUGACAUGGAGAACAUUGGAUGGUGAUGUUUUGAGCGGUCCUUCAAAAUUUUAAAAAUAUUUAAAUAUAUGUCUCGUGGACCAAAAUAUGUUUAUUGAUCUAUAAAUAUUUCUUUAAAUAUUCUUGUAAUACGAUGGUAGUUAUUAAUGAGAUUUGGGAUUUACAAAAAAUAUUUUGUAAAUAAAGAAAUACAUUUAAAAAUUUCGAAUAAUAUUGCUGGGUAUAUAAGGGAAAAGUCCUUCUAAAAUAUAGAAGUUGAGAAAUAUACUUUUGAAUAAGAUUUUUUUAAAAAAAAUUUGUUAUUAAUCAUGGUAGAUAUCAUGAGGAGGAAUUAGUAGUAGGAGUCGGUGUGCCCCCUCAUGGACAAAAAUUUUAUGGACGGUGUGUCCCUAAAGGGUCAUUUGAGGACACGCCGGAUUGGCGCCGUGAAUCUCGCUGCUCUUUUGUUUGGGAGAGCAUGGGACAUUUUUGGUGCACCUGGUGCACCAUUUUUUCUAAAAUUUUAUUUUUUAUUUUUUUAAUUAUAAUUUAAUAUAAUAGAGAUAUAUACUAUGAUAUUCAAAACAUAUGUGUAAAAGAAUUUUGAAUCCUGAAUUCUAAAUUCUUUUACGUAUAUUUUUAAAAUAUUAUUAUAUAUCUAUAUUAUAUGUAAAUUAUAAUUUAAAAAUAAAAAUAAAACUUUCAAAGUAAAAAUUGUGCACCGGGUGCACCAAAAAAAUCCUGCUACUCCCCUUGUUAGGUGAGCAACAUGGCGCCCAUCCGGAAGCUGGUCGAUACACGUGGCGUCCAUCUAGGGAUCCCCAAAUUAAUUUUUGCUCCCCUCAUAUUGUCCUAUCCGCGGAAAGAUCUUUUCUCUGAUUGAUCUCAUUUCGUUUGGAUCACGUUUAUCUCGCUCAUUGUACGACUCUUAAUAUAUAUAUAUAUAUAUAUAUAUAGUAUAUAUAUUAUUAUUAUGUGGUUGUACUUGUAGUCCCUUAUCACCUAUAACCAGUGAAAGACCCGCGCGGUGCUGCGAAUAUAAAAAUAUUUUAAAUAUAAAAUUUUGUUUAUAUUUAUAAUAUUUUUAUAUAGUUUUAAAGUCUAAUUAUUGAUUAAGUAAAAGUUUAUUAAAAAUAAUUUAAUAAUUAAAUAUUUAAAGAAAAAAAAUUAAAACUGGUAUAUGUGUCACAUAAAUUUCUAUAACAGUUUAUUAAUAAUUAAAUUAUUUUGUAAAGAUUUAUGUGAAAAAGAUUUGAAAUAAAUCUAUUCAAAUAAUUUAAAUAAAUCAAUAAAUAAAAGAAAAAUAAAUAGUAGAAGAAAUUAUUUAUAAAACUAUAUUAUAUAUAUAUACACAGAGACACACAUUAUGUUUAUAAUUGUUAUAUCCAGAAAUUUAAAUUUUGUAUUUUUCAUAUUUCCACAUUUUUCAUGAUUUAGAUUGUAUCUACCAGAAUGGAUUUUAUUACGCAAUUUAUUAUGUGUAUUAUUAAUACAAUUAGUUAAUUAUAUAGGUUUAAGCAUUUAAAUUUUGAAGUUUGAAAUUUAGAAAUAAAUAUUAUAAAAUUAAAAUCAGGAGCUUAAAAUUUGAAAUAUAUAAACUUUAAAAUUUUAAUAUCUAAAAUUUUAAAUUUAAAAUUUGGAACUUAAAUUAUAUAAUAUAUAUAAUAUUUAUAUAUAUAUAUAUAUAUUAUAUAUAAUAUUAUAUAUAUCGUGUUGUGUGUGUGUGUCAGUGUGUGUAAACGGAGAGAGGAAGAGGGUUGGGGAGACAGGUGUCACUCUAAUAAUGUCCCCCCAAACCCUCCUUUAAUGUAGUUAGAUAGAUUAUUUUUUUUAUUUUAUAUGGAACUAUCGGGUGCCAGAAUAAUUACAGUAUGAUUAUCUGCGACGUUCUUAAAAUUUAAAAUAAUUCUAUAUAUAAGGUAUAGUAAUGUAAAUUUUUUUUAAAAAACAAUUUAAGUACUACCCAUAUAGUUUCGCACUUUUUCAGUUUAAUAUCAUGUAGUUUAAAGUAUAUUAAUUUAGUAUCCUGCGGUUUUGUUUUUCUUUUUUUAUUAUCCAUUCCACUAAUUAUUUUCCAUUAAAUUACUGACAAAAUUAAAACGAAAAGAUACUAGAGCGUGAAUAUUCGAUAAACUAAGAUGGGUAUCUAAGGUUUUAUAUAUAAUUUAACAAAAUAUAAAUUGAGGAGCUAACAAAAAGAGAAAAAUAAAACCACAGGGUGCUAACUUAAUACAUUUUAAACCAUAGGAUACUAAAGUGAAAAAAUGUGAAACCACACAGGUAGUAUUUGAAAUUUGCCCAUUUUUUAAGCCAACUAUAGUAUUUUGAGCGGUUAAGAGGGUUAAACGAGUCAAAAGAUAACGAGUAGUUUUAGGAUAAGUGACCUUUCUAAAGAGCGGCACAUUACAGAUGGUAUUGAAGCCAAUCACUAGUCAGAAGUAUGAGAUAAGUCUUAACUGAGUCGAGGUUACACAGCUUGCAAGAGCACGGCUCUCUGGCUGACAACAGUAUUGGGAGGACUUUGACUCUCCACAAGAUUGGUUAAGACUAGCAAAAUAAAUCUCACAUCGUCCGAUACUUGUUAAUGUCGCUUUAUAAAGAAGUUAAGCUUUAAAGGAGAAGGAAAUAUGACAACUCUAAAAUUUAGAAUAGUCAUAGUAAAGUUAAACCUCUUAGCUUAGCUAUAAUAUUGGACUGGCUAGACUCAAGGGGUUAAAGAGAGUUAUGCGAGUCUCACGUGUUUGAAUAGGUGAUUCAACUGGUACAUUAUUGAAUUGGUCCCGUACGUUAUGUUUGGAUCGGUCGGUGAUGUUGCCUGAAUUAAUUUUGUGUACAUGAUCAUUUUUAUCACAUGGACACAGUCAUCUUCGGCCUCUACAAAUAGCACCUCUCUUUUCCAUCACCCAGCAUUCAAGUUCAAGUUUCACUACUCAAGUUAAUUACAAAUGGUGAGGUCCUACUACUAUUGGGGGCUUGAGACUAUAGAUGAUUAUUUAUCACGAUGUUAUCGCUCUCAAUUUAAACAUUAUAUAUUUCUGUAGCUUUUUAUAUGGAUAAUUAGAAAGAUAAGAGCGUACAUAUUUGUCGCAGUAGCUGUUGAUCAUUUUUUGAUGUGCGGAAGUGGUAUUUGAAGAAGCUAUAUAUGAAGUUUUUUUUUUUGGCACAAUAAUAUUUAGAUAUUUCUUUCUUUGCGUUUAUAUGUAGUCCGGACUUGUCAAGCUUGGACUGUGGGGUGGAAAUGGGGGAAAUCCUUGUGAUAUCGAUGGUCGUUCUACACGCCUAGCGAAGAUUGUCAUUCGUAGCGCCGAUUCGAUCAAUGCACUUGGAUUUGAGUAUGUUCAGGAUGGAAUGACAUUAACGGCUGGCCCAUGGGGUGGUUCUGGAGGGGGCACCUCCACGGUAUGAUUUUCGAUUUUUAAACAUUUUUGAGUAAAAUAGCGGAGGAUAUAUUAAUUAGCUAAAAAUAAUGCCAAAUUUCGAAAACUUCAAUACAUUUUAUCCUUUUUGUAGAUCGAAUUUCAACCUGGCGAGCACCUGACUGAGAUCAAUGGCACCACCGGUCCAUAUAGCAACAUCGCCAAUUUGGUGAGGUCACUUACUUUCGUCACCAAUGUUAGCAAGUACGGGCCAUACGGAGCGGUGCAAGGAACUCCCUUCGUCAUUCCUGUUGCGAGUGGUCGGAUUGUUGCCUUUUAUGGACGCGCUGGCAUGAAUCUUGAUGCGAUCGGGACUUAUCUGAUGCCCAGCUAAUUAAUAUUCCAUUCUCAUGCUCAUCAUCUUCUCUGAGGACUAUGGGUUUUGGUUUAAUAUAUAUGCAAUAAAGUUGCCGAUAUAGUAUGGCCUCGCAUAUUAUUAUCCUGCAUAAAAAUUCAAUAAAUAAAAGUUGAUGAGCUACUUUGUUUGUGAGAGAAUGAUGAGUCUUUAAUUUGGAAUGUUUUGCAUCUUACUAUGGGAUAACAAAUUCGUUUAUAUUAUGGUUGUGUUGCAAACAUAUAAUUUUAUAUCCAAGUUACAUUUACUAAUCACUUCUAGCUAUUUAAUUAGCUGGGGCUUAAUUCGGAAACAUGGAGCAAUUGACCCACCCAAAAAAAAAAAAAAAAAGGAAAAUAAAAUUGCUGAUGCUUUUUUGUUACUUUAACGGUAUAAAAUAAUCUAAUUCUGAUGAAAUUUCUAUAGAAAUUUUUUUCACUAUUUAGAGUAAGAUCAAUAUCUCUGAUCUUAAAUUCAAGUCUUUUAUCAUCAUUUUUUAUGAGAUUUUUAUUUUCAGCCGUUCAUUUUUAGAUUACUUGUUUGAUAGUUAAAUGAUGCUGAAAAAUUAUGAAAUUUAGUUUCCAAAUACUUUUAAUAGUAUAGAUGAAGUCUAACGAAGCCGAUCGUCGAUUUGAAAGCCGCAUCAUCGAAAACAACUUGGUAGCACGGAGGCCUCCGUGCUACUGAUAGUAUACCAGCCUAGCUAUAUAUAUAUAUAUAGGGUCCGGCUACUAUACUAUUAUGAGUACGAUCGCUCUCGUACUCAUAAAUCGUUUUCGAUGAUAGAGCUUCCGAAUCGACGAUCCAUACCGUUAAACGUUAUUCACAGUAUUUAAAACUUCUAGAAAUCAAAUUUUAUAAUUUUUCGACAUCAUUUACCUUACGAUCAAGAGGUCACAAAUUUGACAAUUUUUAAUGGCCGGUAUGAGAUACUUGCUAGUUUAACGGUGUAAAGGAAUCGGAAUUUUCUGAAUUUUUGACAGAAAAUUCUAUUCAUUACCUAAAUAAAGAUCAAUAACUCCGAUCUUGAAUUGAAGGAUCCGAUCAUCAUUUUUUAGGAUGUUGUUCGAUUUUGACCGUUCAUUUUAUGCCCGCUUGAUGGACUUUAUUAUGAUUUCGAAAAUUUAUGAAAUUUAUUUUCUACUAGUUUCAAAUACUCUAGAUCAUAUUUAACGGAGUGAAUCGUCGAUUCGGAAGCUCCAUCAUCCAAAUCAACUUAUGAGUACGAGGGCUCCAAUACUCAUAAUAGUAUAGUAGCCACGGCCUCUGGCUACUAUAUAUAUAUAUAGUGGGCCCCCAAGGGUUGAGUGGGUGGUUGGUUGAAUAGUAUAAUCUAGUGAGUGAAAAUGAUUAAAGGGUAAAUCUAACGGUCAAAAAUUUAUGAGUACAAUAGGCUCUAUAUUCAUAAAAGUAUAGUAGCCGGACUCUCUCUCUCUCUCUCUCUCUCUCUCUCUCUCUCUCUCUCUCUCUAUAUAUAUAUAUAUAUAUAUACUAAUUAUAUAGAGUUGAGCUAGAAUACUAUCGAUAGCAAAACGGCUCGCGUUGUCACCCAUUUGUUUUCGAUGAUAGAGCCUCCAAAUCGACGAUCGGCACCGUUGAACAUGAUCUAUACCACUUGAAGUGUUUAGAAAUCAAAUUUCAAAUCUUUUCGAUAUCAUUUGCCUAAUGAUCAAGGGGUUUCAAAAUUUGUAAUUUUAAUAGUUGAUAUGAGGCGUUUUCUCGUUUAACGGAGUAAAGAUAUCCAAAUCAAUUGAAUUUUUGUUAGAAAAUUCUUUAAACUAUUUAAAACAAGAUCUAUACUCUUGAUCUUGAUUAACAAGACUCCUAUCAUCAUUUUUUAAAGAAUAUUCAUUUUCAGCCGUUCAUUUUUGUGUCCACUCGAUGGAUAAGAGAACACUAUCGAAAAUAUAUGAAAUUUGAUUUCUAAACACUUCAAUUGGUAUUGAUCAUGUUCAACGGUGCCGAUCGUCGAUUGGAGGCUCCAUCAUUGAAAACAAAUGAGUGCAACGGAGCUCAUUUGCUAUCGAUAGUAUUUUAAUUCAACUCUCUCUCUCUAAAUAUAUAUAUAUAUAUAUAUAUAUAAAUAUAUAUAUAUAUAUAUAUAUAUAUAUAUAUAUAUAUAGUGGGCAAUUUCAUCAGUGCCCAUGUCAAACUUGCAAAUUUCGUCAAUACCCCUCUAAACUUCAAAAUAUCACAAAUACCCCUUUAAACACAUAAAAUUAUCGUCAUUGCCCUUACCGUUAACGGUGCCUCACUCUACCUGGUUAAUAUGUAGUUAAAUAACAGUUAAAAUAUAUAAUGACGAAUUUACCCCCCAAAAAGUUAGGAUAAUAUUUUGGCGGAAUAACUAAUUAAUGCUAGAAAAAUACUCUCCACUUUUCCAAUGCCUGCACCAUCAGAUGGUUUCUUCUUCAACAAGAAACCUCCUCCUCAUCCCUUGCUCUCUCUCUAUCUAUUUUUUUGCUCUUCUUCAGCAAGAUUCUAUAAUUUCGGACAUGUUUGAGCUCCUUUUUCCCUUAAUCACAUUUUGAAGGAUUUAUAUUUGUAAGGAUAUGUGCUGGGUAAGAUCUAUUUGUUAUUGGUUUUAAUUCCAUUUUAAUAUCAUUGUUCUCUUUUAUUCUCACAUUAGCAUAAGAUCUUUACUAUAAGCUCAUGAACUUUUUUUUCA